This 433-nucleotide ribosomal RNA is filed under the name uncultured bacterium. Its description in RNAcentral is "partial 16S ribosomal RNA". It matches the Rfam family "Bacterial small subunit ribosomal RNA", at positions 29 to 507 of the family's 1533-position model. The record is from RNAcentral.
AACGAACGCUGGCGGCAUGCCUAACACAUGCAAGUCGAACGAGACCUUCGGGUCUAGCGGCGCACGGGUGCGUAACGCGUGGGAACCUGCCCUUAGGUUCGGAAUAACUCCCCGAAAGGGGUGCUAAUACCGGAUAAUGUCUUCGGACCAAAGAUUUAUCGCCUUUGGAUGGGCCCGCGUUGGAUCAGCUAGUUGGUAGGGUAAAAGCCUACCAAGGCGACGAUCCAUAGCUGGUCUGAGAGGAUGAUCAGCCACACUGGGACUGAGACACGGCCCAGACUCCUACGGGAGGCAGCAGUGGGGAAUAUUGGACAAUGGGCGAAAGCCUGAUCCAGCAAUGCCGCGUGAGUGAUGAAGGCCUUAGGGUUGUAAAGCUCUUUUACCCGGGAUGAUAAUGACAGUACCGGGAGAAUAAGCUCCGGCUAACUCCGUG